AGAGGUGGCAAGCGUUGUUCGGAAUUACUGGGCGUAAAGGGCGCGUAGGCGGCCUUCUAAGUCAGACGUGAAAUCCCCAGGCUUAACUUGGGAACUGCGUCUGAUACUGGAAGGCUUGAGUGCGGGAGAGGGAUGUGGAAUUCCAGGUGUAGCGGUGAAAUGCGUAGAUAUCUGGAGGAACACCGGUGGCGAAGGCGGCAUCCUGGACCGACACUGACGCUGAGGCGCGAAAGCCAGGGGAGCAAACGGGAUUAGAUACCCCGGUAGUCCUGGCCCUAAACGAUGAGUGCUUGGUGUGGCGGGUAUCGAUCCCUGCCGUGCCGAAGCUAACGCAUUAAGCACUCCGCCUGGGGAGUACGGUCGCAAGGCUGAA
This 373-nucleotide ribosomal RNA is filed under the name uncultured bacterium. RNAcentral's name for it is "bacterial SSU rRNA". It matches the Rfam family "Bacterial small subunit ribosomal RNA", at positions 527 to 898 of the family's 1533-position model. The record is from RNAcentral.